AUCUGAAAGAAAAGUCGUAACAAGGUCUCCGUUGGUGAACCAGCGGAGGGAUCAUUA
RNAcentral lists this ribosomal RNA (57 nucleotides) under Ophiocordyceps tricentri. RNAcentral describes it as "partial 18S ribosomal RNA". It matches the Rfam family "Eukaryotic small subunit ribosomal RNA", at positions 1775 to 1831 of the family's 1831-position model. The record is from RNAcentral. Lineage: Eukaryota; Fungi; Ascomycota; Sordariomycetes; Hypocreales; Ophiocordycipitaceae.